GCCAGCGGAAGCGUCUCGCCAUUUGGUAACGGUGGGAUGAAGCGAGCAAAACCAGGACGAUAGUGAACUGUCUUCUUUGUUUCGAAAUGCGAGUUUUUACUGGUGCAAUCGUGUCGUCACAUCAAGUUCCUCGGAGGAACUAUUACUAGCAGCGGAGUUUGCUCUAAUUGCCAAGAACAAGUUAACAUCCAAAGCCUUCCUGAAACAAGCUUAUCCGAUGUUUAUUUUGUGAUAUAAACCUGGAAUAUUCAUUUUAUUCAUUUUCUACUGUUAACCCGUCGAGUUCGUAU
RNAcentral lists this unclassified non-coding RNA (290 nucleotides) under Hevea brasiliensis (rubber tree). Lineage: Eukaryota; Viridiplantae; Streptophyta; Magnoliopsida; Malpighiales; Euphorbiaceae. The record is from RNAcentral.